Molecule: long non-coding RNA, 1906 nt
Filed under: Trifolium pratense (red clover)
Lineage: Eukaryota; Viridiplantae; Streptophyta; Magnoliopsida; Fabales; Fabaceae
Description: long non-coding RNA (TPRA_LNC000552)
Source: RNAcentral
ACACAUAUAUCCCUUUGGCAAGAGUUGAUGAUGAUAAUGAUGAUAUGCUUUUAUGAAUAAUGUUUAGAUUAAAAAAUUGAUGUGGAUGAAGUUUCAAUUUUGUACUGUUCUUUUAAUGUGAUUGAAUCUCUGCCUAGUCACUGCAAUCGUUUAAUUGACUGAUAAGUACUGAUUAAAGGUUUUGUUAAUCAUUCCCUGGAACUUGCCAUGACUUUACACCACUAAAUGGUUCCUUAGAAGAGAAUUUAAUGGGAACUUUACUACAAUACAUUUAAGAGUCACAAUGUAAUGGUUAGAAGACAAGACUUUCAUAUACUGAUUUUCAAUAGUGUGGCCAGAAUUAUGUAUAUGUUUUGAUUAAUCCAAUUAGGUAUUCCUUAACCUUAAUCUAGUUCUUACUGCUCUUGUGUAACAGGAUCUCAUUUUGGGGCCGCGGUUUUGCACGAAUUGGAAAAAUUCCUGUACAUUCAUUAGGACUUCCAUCUCUUCCAUCUCUUAUUUCUUUUUAAUAUCUGUUAGUAGUUGAGGUAGUAGUGAUAGUUUAGAAAAUAGUUAGAUAGUGUAGAAUGCUUAGUUGGAUACAUUACAAAUGAGCCAUGGUUACAUAUUUAUAGGUGUGGAUGGCAUAUUCUAGAUCCUUUAUUCUAGAUCAUUCAUGAUAUGUCCUAGUACUUACUUAUUCUACUAACUACUCAAGUAAUCUAGAAAGUUCUACAAGUUUACAACAUCACUUAAUAACUAUUAAUUAUUCUACAACUUUCUAAUGAAUUCUAGUAAAUUCUAGAAAUGUGCAUCAUAUUCUAACACUCCUCCUUGAUGCAUAUUUCGGUAACUCUAACCAUAGUUCAUCGUUGCUCAAAACUUGUUCUAUCCGAAUCCUCGUUUGAUGAGACAGUGAUCAAUUCCAUUGUACCAUUCUCGAUGAGCUUUCUUGAGUCCAUAUAAAGGUUUUCUUAGUCUUGGAAGUUUUUCUUGAUUGUCUUUUGUCCAUAGUUGUUGUUUUGACGCCACUUGAUAACUUUUAGAAUCAAGCAUGGAAAAGUUGCAGGUUUCAGAUAUAUCCUCCGGUGAUUUUACCCGCGUUGGAGUAGAUUCUGGUGAAUAAAUCUCUUGUUGUGAAGGUGAAAGUAGCGUACCUGGUUCUUCUAUUGCGUGUUCCAUAUCCUCUAUGUCUGAUUGUCGUAUUGGAGUAUAUUUGAAGUUUAUUGGAAAGCUUCUAUUCCUUUUGUCCNNNNNNNNNNNNNNNNNNNNNNNNNNNNNNNNNNNNNNNNNNNNNNNNNNNNNNAAUGUUAAUGAAUUGUUUAGAUGAUAACACAUAUAUCCCUUUGGCAAGAGUUGAUGAUGAUAAUGAUGAUAUGCUUUUAUGAAUAAUGUUUAGAUUAAAAAAUUGAUGUGGAUGAAGUUUCAAUUUUGUGACUGUUCUUUUAAUGUGAUUGAAUCUCUGCCUAGUCACUGCAAUCGUUUAAUUGACUGAUAAGUACUGAUUAAAGGUUUUGUUAAUCAUUCCCUGGAACUUGCCAUGACUUUACACCACUAAAUGGUUCCUUAGAAGAGAAUUUAAUGAGAACUUUACUACAAUACAUUUAAGAGUCACAAUGUAAUGGUUAGAAGACAGGACUGUCAUAUACUGAUUUUCAAUAGUGUGGCCAGAAUUAUGUAUAUGUUUUGAUUAAUCCAAUUAGGUAUUCCUUAACCUUAAUCUAGUUCUUACUGCUCUAGUGUAACAGGAUCUCAUUUUGGGCCCGCGGUUUUACACGAACUGGAAAAAUUCCUGUACAUUCAUUAGGACUUCCAUCUCUUCCAUCUCUUAUUUCUUUUUAAUAUCAUUGAAGAUUUUGUGGUUGCAUUCUCAGUUCUAUUUAUUUUACCGUGUUUUUACACGCUCGAUGGGAGCUUAGAGAGAUUU